Molecule: ribosomal RNA, 496 nt
Filed under: uncultured bacterium
Lineage: Bacteria
Description: partial 16S ribosomal RNA
Rfam family: Bacterial small subunit ribosomal RNA
Source: RNAcentral
GAUGAACGCUGGCGGCGUGCCUAAUACAUGCAAGUCGAGCGAACAGACGAGGAGCUUGCUCCUCUGACGUUAGCGGCGGACGGGUGAGUAACACGUGGAUAACCUACCUAUAAGACUGGGAUAACUUCGGGAAACCGGAGCUAAUACCGGAUAAUAUAUUGAACCGCAUGGUUCAAUAGUGAAAGACGGUUUUGCUGUCACUUAUAGAUGGAUCCGCGCCGCAUUAGCUAGUUGGUAAGGUAACGGCUUACCAAGGCAACGAUGCGUAGCCGACCUGAGAGGGUGAUCGGCCACACUGGAACUGAGACACGGUCCAGACUCCUACGGGAGGCAGCAGUAGGGAAUCUUCCGCAAGGGGCGAAAGCCUGACGGAGCAACGCCGCGUGAGUGAUGAAGGUCUUCGGAUCGUAAAACUCUGUUAUGAGGGAAGAACAAAUGUGUAAGUAACUAUGCACGUCUUGACGGUACCUAAGCAGAAAGCCACGGCUAACUACGU